RNAcentral lists this ribosomal RNA (477 nucleotides) under Escherichia coli. Its description in RNAcentral is "partial 23S ribosomal RNA". It matches the Rfam family "Bacterial large subunit ribosomal RNA", at positions 426 to 905 of the family's 2925-position model. Lineage: Bacteria; Pseudomonadati; Pseudomonadota; Gammaproteobacteria; Enterobacterales; Enterobacteriaceae. The record is from RNAcentral.
GUGGUAUCCUGUCUGAAUAUGGGGGGACCAUCCUCCAAGGCUAAAUACUCCUGACUGACCGAUAGUGAACCAGUACCGUGAGGGAAAGGCGAAAAGAACCCCGGCGAGGGGAGUGAAAAAGAACCUGAAACCGUGUACGUACAAGCAGUGGGAGCACGCUUAGGCGUGUGACUGCGUACCUUUUGUAUAAUGGGUCAGCGACUUAUAUUCUGUAGCAAGGUUAACCGAAUAGGGGAGCCGAAGGGAAACCGAGUCUUAACUGGGCGUUAAGUUGCAGGGUAUAGACCCGAAACCCGGUGAUCUAGCCAUGGGCAGGUUGAAGGUUGGGUAACACUAACUGGAGGACCGAACCGACUAAUGUUGAAAAAUUAGCGGAUGACUUGUGGCUGGGGGUGAAAGGCCAAUCAAACCGGGAGAUAGCUGGUUCUCCCCGAAAGCUAUUUAGGUAGCGCCUCGUGAAUUCAUCUCCGGGGGUAG